Molecule: transfer-messenger RNA, 367 nt
Filed under: Clostridia bacterium
Lineage: Bacteria; Bacillati; Bacillota; Clostridia
Also listed under: 2 other names
Rfam family: transfer-messenger RNA
About the family: Bacterial tmRNA, also known as 10Sa RNA or SsrA, is named for its dual tRNA and mRNA-like properties. Its role is to liberate the mRNA from a stalled ribosome.
Source: RNAcentral
GGGGAUGUACCGGCUUCGACGGGGUGGGACGUUCGGGGAAAAGCAGGUGGCAGGGUCGGCUGCCUUAAAAACGCAAAAUAGCAUAAAUGCUAACAAUUACAAUGCAGCACCCGCUGCAAUCGCUGCGUAAUCAGUUUUACACGGCCGCCCUGUCGCUCACCCUAUCGCCGAUGAGCGUCGGGCGUCAAACGAGGCGAUGAACCUUCCUGAUUUCCGAACCGCGGAUCCGGAACGCCCAUAGCGGUUUAAUCGACGUCGCGCUUUGUCGAUCGCGUACGCCGUCGAGAUAUCAAGCAAUCGACUAAACUUGUAGAAAGCCCCGGAAAUUUCACGUCGGAAGGGAGUUCAACUCUCCCCAUCUCCACCA